CGGCAACAGCUCAAAUUUGAAAGCUGGCCUUUGGCCCGCAUUGUAAUUUGCAGAGGAUGAUUCGGGUGCGAUACCUGGCUAAGUCCCUUGGAACAGGGCGUCAUAGAGGGUGAUAAUCCCGUAUGUGCCAGGCCGUCAAUCCCUUGUGAAUCUCCUUCGAC
Molecule: ribosomal RNA, 161 nt
Filed under: Cyanodermella viridula
Lineage: Eukaryota; Fungi; Ascomycota; Lecanoromycetes; Ostropales; Stictidaceae
Description: partial large subunit ribosomal RNA
Rfam family: Eukaryotic large subunit ribosomal RNA
Source: RNAcentral